GGGCGCCGGGGCCGGGCGCGGGCGGCGGGCGGAGAGCCUGGCGGGCGAGGGCGCCGCGGAGCUGGAGCAGCGGCGGCGGGCGGCGGGCCGGGGCGCCGGGGCCGGGCGCGGGCGGCGGGCCGGGGCGCCGGGGCCGGGCGCGGGCGGCGGGCCGGGGCGCCGGGGCCGGGCGCGGGCGGCGGGUGCGGGGCGCCCGGCUGGCGCUCACUCCCCCGUCCGGGGGCGGGGGCCCCGGGGGGGGGGGCGAGGGGCGGGGCGGGGCGGGGGAGGGAGGCUGGGCUCGGGCCGGUUUCUUUCCCCCCCCACCCCGGGGGUGUUUGUUGCUUGGAUUGUUUGGUCGCAAACGGGCGGUGAUGAGACACGGGGUCCCGGCCCCCAGAUUGUGAUGUCUCAGGGGGCGGGGGGCGGGGCGACGCCGCGAAGCAGCGGGGGGGGGGGGGGGGCGGGGUGAGCCCGCGGGUCCCAGCGCCUGGUCCGCGGGAGGGCCCGCCCCCUGCCACCCGGCCCCCGGCCCCUCCACGCACCCCUGUCCCGGGGACGGCCAGGCAGACAGCCCUCCACCCCAGGUCCCCGGCCUCCGCACAAUUCAGAGGCCACCUCUGCGGAGGGGAGGGCCGUGCGAGGCCGUGCGCCCCCGCGGGCACCUGGGGGGAACGGUGCCAGGGCCCCAUCGGGGACCCAACGUCAAAGCCAGAUGAGCUGACCAGACAGGGGGGAAGUUUAACCAGAGGAUGCACCGAAAUGCAAUGUCAAGGCAGAAGACCAGCAAAUUCUUUUUUAACCUCUCAAGACCCUUCCCAAGAGUCCCCAGCCUGUCCCAGCUCUCCUCAUCUGCGGCUCUGGAAGCCCAGUGGAGGCCCACGGAGCCAAUGGGCACUCACGGGUGCCUGGGCGCAUGCCUCCCGGAUUCGAGGAAAAGUACUCUGCCUGAAGGCCUGGCUUCCCGGGAGUUUCCAGAAACUGAUUUUCUAGAAAUUGCCCAAUGCCGCUAG
Molecule: long non-coding RNA, 992 nt
Filed under: Felis catus (domestic cat)
Lineage: Eukaryota; Metazoa; Chordata; Mammalia; Carnivora; Felidae
Description: lncRNA (ENSFCAG00000040655.2)
Source: RNAcentral